CUGCCUCAUACAGGGGGAUAACAGUUAGAAAUGACUGCUAAUACCGCAUAAGCGCACAGGACUGCAUGGUCCAGUGUGAAAAACUCCGGUGGUAUGAGAUGGACCCGCGUCUGAUUAGCUAGUUGGUGGGGUAACGGCCUACCAAGGCGACGAUCAGUAGCCGACCUGAGAGGGUGACCGGCCACAUUGGGACUGAGACACGGCCCAAACUCCUACGGGAGGCAGCAGUGGGGAAUAUUGCACAAUGGGGGAAACCCUGAUGCAGCGACGCCGCGUGAGUGAAGAAGUAUUUCGGUAUGUAAAGCUCUAUCAGCAGGGAAGAAAAUGACGGUACCUGACUAAGAAGCCCCGGCUAACUACGUGCCAGCAGCCGCGGUAAUACGUAGGGGGCAAGCGUUAUUCGGAUUUACUGGGUGUAAAGGGAGCGUAGACGGCGCGGCAAGUCUGAAGUGAAAGCCCGGGGCUUAACCCCGGGACUGCUUUGGAAACUGCCAUGCUGGAGUGCUGGAGAGGUAAGUGGAAUUCCUAGUGUAGCGGUGAAAUGCGUAGAUAUUAGGAGGAACACCAGUGGCGAAGGCGGCUUACUGGACAGUAACUGACGUUGAGGCUCGAAGGCGUGGGGAGCAAACAGGAUUAGAUACCCUGGUAGUCCACGCGGUAAACGAUGAAUACUAGGUGUCGGGGAGCAAAGCUUUUCGGUGCCGGCGCAAACGCAAUAA
This 719-nucleotide ribosomal RNA is filed under the name uncultured bacterium. RNAcentral's name for it is "bacterial SSU rRNA". It matches the Rfam family "Bacterial small subunit ribosomal RNA", at positions 126 to 863 of the family's 1533-position model. The record is from RNAcentral.